Mauremys mutica (yellowpond turtle) is the source of this 361-nucleotide long non-coding RNA. RefSeq lists it as uncharacterized. The record is from RefSeq and is a predicted model, not a curated record. The transcript has 3 exons. NCBI's taxonomy places the organism in Eukaryota, Metazoa, Chordata, Testudines, Geoemydidae.
AUGCUUAGUGGAGGCUUCAGCCCAGGAGCCAUUACAGCCCUUGCCUGCGGGUGCCAGAGAUUCCAAGACACAGACUGAAGACCUGUUGCCUACAGCUGACUGGCUAGAGUCGGAGUCCCAGGGAGUUACCUGUGCGGUGGAGACCCUGAUGUCAUAUGGACUGCAGUUUCAGGAAGCCUGGAAAGGGGUGUAGUCACAGCCACACAGAUGAUGUUGAACUGCCAGUGACGGAGUCUCAUGUUCCUGUGCCACCUGAGAUGACAACUGGCUUGCAAGAGAUGAAGCUGAGUAUUCAGGCAAUCAUGGCUGAAAUCAGGACUAUACCAUUGAAGGACAUCUUGAACUUGCAUUUGUUUUUUUG